GAUGAACGCUGGCGGCGUGCCUAACACAUGCAAGUCGAGCGAUUCUCUUCGGAGAAGAGCGGCGGACGGGUGAGUAACGCGUGGGUAACCUGCCCUGUACACACGGAUAACAUACCGAAAGGUAUGCUAAUACGAGAUAAUAUGCUUUUAUCGCAUGGUAGAAGUAUCAAAGCUUUUGCGGUACAGGAUGGACCCGCGUCUGAUUAGCUAGUUGGUAAGGUAACGGCUUACCAAGGCGACGAUCAGUAGCCGACCUGAGAGGGUGAUCGGCCACAUUGGAACUGAGACACGGUCCAAACUCCUACGGAGGCAGCAGUGGGGAAUAUUGCACAAUGGGCGAAAGCCUGAUGCAGCAACGCCGCGUGAGCGAUGAAGGCCUUCGGGUCGUAAGGACUCUGUCCUCAAGGAAGAGUAAUAGACGGUACUUACGAGGAGGAAGCCCGGCUAACGUAACGUGCCAGCAGCCGCGGUAA
RNAcentral lists this ribosomal RNA (473 nucleotides) under uncultured bacterium. RNAcentral's name for it is "bacterial SSU rRNA". It matches the Rfam family "Bacterial small subunit ribosomal RNA", at positions 28 to 523 of the family's 1533-position model. The record is from RNAcentral.